UACACUCCUACGGGAGGCAGCAGUGGGGAAUUUUGGACAAUGGGCGAAAGCCUGAUCCAGCAAUGCCGCGUGAGUGAAGAAGGCCUUCGGGUUGUAAAGCUCUUUUGUCAGGGAAGAAACGGUGAAAGCUAAUAUCUUUUGCUAAUGACGGUACCUGAAGAAUAAGCACCGGCUAACUACGUGCCAGCAGCCGCGGUAAUACGUAGGGUGCAAGCGUUAAUCGGAAUUACUGGGCGUAAAGCGUGCGCAGGCGGUUUUGUAAGUCUGAUGUGAAAUCCCCGGGCUCAACCUGGGAAUUGCAUUGGAGACUGCAAGGCUAGAAUCUGGCAGAGGGGGGUAGAAUUCCACGUGUAGCAGUGAAAUGCGUAGAUAUGUGGAGGAACACCGAUGGCGAAGGCAGCCCCCUGGGUCAAGAUUGACGCUCAUGCACGAAAGCGUGGGGAGCAAACAGGAUUAGAAACCCGUGUAGUCCCAU
Molecule: ribosomal RNA, 475 nt
Filed under: uncultured organism
Description: partial 16S ribosomal RNA
Rfam family: Bacterial small subunit ribosomal RNA
Source: RNAcentral